Molecule: ribosomal RNA, 468 nt
Filed under: uncultured bacterium
Lineage: Bacteria
Description: partial 16S ribosomal RNA
Rfam family: Bacterial small subunit ribosomal RNA
Source: RNAcentral
GACGAACGCUGGCGGCGUGCUUAACACAUGCAAGUCGAACGGAAAGGCCCUGCUUUUGUGGGGUGCUCGAGUGGCGAACGGGUGAGUAACACGUGAGUAACCUGCCCUUGACUUUGGGAUAACUUCAGGAAACUGGGGCUAAUACCGGAUAGGAGCUCCUGCUGCAUGGUGGGGGUCGGAAAGUUUCGGCGGUUGGGGAUGGACUCGCGGCUUAUCAGCUUGUUGGUGGGGUAGUGGCUUACCAAGGCUUUGACGGGUAGCCGGCCUGAGAGGGUGACCGGACACAUUGGGACUGAGUUACGGCCCAGAGUCCUACGGGAGGCAGUAGUGGUGAGUAUUGCACAAUGAGCGGGAGCCUGGUGGAGGAGUCGCGCGUGCGGGAUGACGGCUUUCUGGUGGUAACCCGCGUUAGCCUGUGACGAAGCGUGAGUGACGGUAAUGGGUAGAGAAUCACCGGCUAACUGCGUG